CCUACGGGAGGCAGCAGUGGGGAAUAUUGGGCAAUGGACGAAAGUCUGACCCAGCAACGCCGCGUGAAGGAAGAAGGCUUUCGGGUUGUAAACUUCUUUUAAGAUGGAAGUGCAGAACACUGUAUCCCUUGAAUAAGCCAUGGCUAAGUAAGUGCCAGCAGCCGCGGUAGUACGUAGGGGGCAAGCGUUAUGCGGAUUUACUGGGUGUAAAGGGCGUGCAGCCGGAGGAACAAGUCAGAUGUGAAAUCCACGGGCUCAACCCGUGAACUGCAUUUGAAACUGUUUGCCUUGAGUGUCGGAGAGGUAGGCGGAAUUCGUGGUGUAGCGGUGAAAUGCGUAGAUAUAAGGAAGAACACCAGUUGCGAAGGCGGAUUACUGGACGAUAACUGACGGUGAUGCGCGAAAGCGUGGGGAGCAAACAGGAUUAGAUACCCGAGUAGUC
Molecule: ribosomal RNA, 442 nt
Filed under: uncultured bacterium
Lineage: Bacteria
Description: partial 16S ribosomal RNA
Rfam family: Bacterial small subunit ribosomal RNA
Source: RNAcentral